Panicum hallii is the source of this 1045-nucleotide long non-coding RNA. RefSeq lists it as uncharacterized. The transcript is spliced from 3 exons. Lineage: Eukaryota; Viridiplantae; Streptophyta; Magnoliopsida; Poales; Poaceae. The record is from RefSeq and is a predicted model, not a curated record.
CACCACGGCCAAGCUGGUAUUUACGACAUGGCCAUCCUAUUCGUUCUGCCGAUGGAAUUGGCCGCCGCCGAUGAGAAGCGCCGCCGAGCCGCGCGGAAAGGCGACGGCGACGGAUGGAGAUGGGGUGGCGGCCGCUCCAUCCCACGCCGGCCUUCGCCACCGCCCUGCGCCACCUCGCGGAGCAGGGGGGUCAUGGUUGCUCAUCGUCGCUGGCGCCUGCGAGGAAGGAGGCGGCGGCCGGGCGCAUGUGCCCGACAGACGUGGCCACGGCGGCGCGACCUCGCCGGCUCGCCGGAAGUCAUUCAAGCGACCUUUUUCUGUGAAGGUGAAGCCAAGGCAGAAAAGAGUUCCAAUCUUUUUAGAGCACUGUACUUCAUGAAUGAUGAGUUGAAGCCACUGCUGCAAAUUUCAGCAGUUCUUUUACUGGAAAAUUUCAGCAGCUUUGUGAAGGCAGUGCCACAUGUUCUGGCUCAAUGUUGAGUUUUAGUAAUUGAGUGUGUCUGUGUGAAUUUGCUUGAGGCUCCAUCAUGCUGUUGUUCUAACCGUUGCGGUUGCCCAAUGCCAAAGAAAUUUUGAGUGCUGCUGGAUUGAAGGUGAUCAUGUCCUUCAAAGACAAUGCUACCGAUUUUGUAGGAUAACUUGUACGGGAAAUAGAUUGAUUAAUUUUUGAAGUCUUGUAAGGUUCUUGACAUCCAUGGUGCAAUGUAUGAUGCUAUUGCUAUCAAGCUACAACGAUUUUGGGUUGUCAUGCCAUUGAUGCCUGCCUCUAUCACCCAGAUUUUCCAGUUAGGAACAUUGAAGGUUGGAAUAGAACUCAAUCCUGCAUUUGAUUAUCCUGCCAAAUAUUGUUGCUGUUCUGAUAUGCAUCACUUCAUGUGCCUAGCAUGGUUGCCUCAUGGGGCAUGAUCCUUAUCUUUGAUUCCUUGGUGGAUAGCUAUUGCAUCUAUUUUAGGAUCAGCUGGGUUGGUUAAGUUGUGAGCCAUAACCAGUCAAUGUGUUGGGAAUUUAAGCCUAACCUAUACGCUUACAAUGUGUGUAUGAAGUA